UACGUAGGGACCGAGCGUUGUCCGGAAUCAUUGGGCGUAAAGAGCGUGUAGGCGGCGACUUAAGUCCUGCGUGAAAUCUUGCGGCUCAACCGCAAGCGGUCGUGGGAAACUGGGUGGCUAGAGUGCGGGAGAGGAGAGUGGAAUUCCUGGUGUAGCGGUGGAAUGCGCAGAUAUCAGGAAGAACACCCGUGGCGAAGGCGGCUCUCUGGGACGGUACUGACGCUGAGACGCGAAAGCGUGGGGAGCGAACAGG
Molecule: ribosomal RNA, 253 nt
Filed under: uncultured bacterium
Lineage: Bacteria
Description: partial 16S ribosomal RNA
Rfam family: Bacterial small subunit ribosomal RNA
Source: RNAcentral